UUUCAUUUAAAAUUUAAAUAGAAUUUUAUUUUUUAGUUAAAAAGCUAAAAUAUAGUCAAAAGACGAGAAGACCCUAUAAAUCUUAAUUGUGUAUAAAUUUUUAAUUUGGAUUGAUUUUUUUAAGUAUAAAUUUAUAUAUAAUUUCAUUGGGGUGAUGUUAAAAUUUAAUUAACUUUUAAUAAUUUUAUUCAUUUAUUUAUGAUUAAGUGAUCCAUUAUUAGUGAUUAUAAAUUUAAGUUACUUUAGGGAUAACAGCGUAAUUUUUUUGGAGAGUUCUUAUCGAUAAAAAAGUUUGCGACCUCGAUGUUGGAUUAAGAUUCAUAUUUAAAUGUAGAAGUUUAAAUAUUAAGUCUGUUCGACUUUUUAUUCUUACAUGAUCUGAGUUCAAACCGGUGUAAGCCAGGUUGGUUUCUAUCUUUGAUUUAAUAAAAUAUUUUAGUACGAAAGGAAUUAGUAUUUAUUUUUUAGAAAUUUAAUUAAUGAAUAAA
This 488-nucleotide ribosomal RNA is filed under the name Teleopsis whitei. Its description in RNAcentral is "partial 16S ribosomal RNA". The stretch from base 248 to 406 matches the Rfam family "Bacterial large subunit ribosomal RNA", at positions 2473 to 2632 of the family's 2925-position model. The record is from RNAcentral. Lineage: Eukaryota; Metazoa; Arthropoda; Insecta; Diptera; Diopsidae.